RNAcentral lists this ribosomal RNA (1258 nucleotides) under Chryseobacterium sp. RNAcentral describes it as "bacterial SSU rRNA". Lineage: Bacteria; Pseudomonadati; Bacteroidota; Flavobacteriia; Flavobacteriales; Weeksellaceae. The record is from RNAcentral.
AGCCGAGCGGUNASAUUCUUCGGANUCUUGMGAGCGGCGCACGGGUGCGGAACACGUGUGCAACCUGCCUUUAUCAGGGGAAUAGCCUUUCKAAAGGAAGAUUAAUGCCCCAUAAUAUAUUGACUGGCAUCAGUUGAUAUUGAAAACUCCGGUGGAUAAAGAUGGGCACGCGCAGGAUUAGAUAGUUGGUAGGGUAACGGCCUACCAAGUCAACGAUCCUUAGGGGGCCUGAGAGGGUGAUCCCCCACACUGGUACUGAGACACGGACCAGACUCCUACGGGAGGCAGCAGUGAGGAAUAUUGGACAAUGGGUGAGAGCCUGAUCCAGCCAUCCCGCGUGAAGGACGACGGCCCUAUGGGUUGUAAACUUCUUUUGUAUAGGGAUAAACCUUUCCACGUGUGGAAAGCUGAAGGUACUAUACGAAUAAGCACCGGCUAACUCCGUGCCAGCAGCCGCGGUAAUACGGAGGGUGCAAGCGUUAUCCGGAUUUAUUGGGUUUAAAGGGUCCGUAGGCGGACUCSUAASUCAGUGGUGAAAUCUCACAGCUUAACUGUGAAACUGCCAUUGAUACUGCGGGUCUUGAGUGUUGUUGAAGUAKCUGGAAUAAGUAGUGUAGCGGUGAAAUGCAUAGAUAUUACUUAUAACACCAAUUGCGAAGGCAGGUUACUAAGCAACAACUGACGCUKAUGGACGACAGCGUGGGGAGCGAACAGGAUUAGAUACCCUGGUAGUCCACGCCGUAAACGAUGCUAACUCGUUUUUGGGCCUUCGGGUUCAGAGACUAAGCGAAAGUGAUAAGUUAGCCACCUGGGGAGUACGUUCGCAAGAAUGAAACUCAAAGGAAUUGACGGGGGCUCGCACAAGCGGUGGAUUAUGUGGUUUAAUUCGAUGAUACGCGAGGAACCUUACCAAGGCUUAAAUGGGAAUUGACAGGUUUAGAAAUAGACUUUUCUUCGGACAAUUUCAAGGUGCUGCAUGUUGUCGUCACCUCGUGCCCUGAGGUGUUAGGUUAGUUCYGCAACGAGCGCAACCCUGUCANAGUGCCAUCNUUCGUUGGGGAYCUAGUGAGACUGNUUCCCCAGUAAAAAGAAGGGGGGAUGACGUCAUCUUCCGGUCCUUACCCUUGGNCCACCCCUAUAAAUGUCAUUCCGAGGCACCUCCCCGUAAGGGNNCAAUCNAAAGCUGGCUCAUUCCAAUGGACUCGCACCCAACUUUGAACCCGAACCUUAUAUUCUGAUAUCCCUUGGUGGGAAAUUU